CGGCAACGGCGAUAAGGGGACCUCGAGUGCCAGGUUACAAAUCUGGCUGUCGUGAUGCCUAAAAAGCAUUGCAUAGCAAGGGCCGGGCAAGACCGGUGCCAGCCGCCGCGGUAACACCGGCGGCUCGAGUGGUAACCGUUAUUAUUGGGUCUAAAGGGUCUGUAGCCGGCCGGAUAAGUCUCUUGAGAAAUCCAGCAGCUCAACUGUUGGGCUUUCAGGAGAUACUGUUCGGCUCGAGGCCGGGAGAGGUGAGAGGUACUUCAGGGGUAGGGGUGAAAUCUUGUAAUCCUUGAAGGACCACCAGUGGCGAAGGCGUCUCACCAGAACGGACCUGACGGCAAGGGACGAAAGCUAGGGGCACGAACCGGAUUAGAUACCCGGGUAGUCCUAGCCGUAAACGAUACUCGCUAGGUGUCGGCCACGGUGCGACCGUUGUCGGUGCCGUAGGGAAGCCGUGAAGCGAG
This 464-nucleotide ribosomal RNA is filed under the name uncultured archaeon. Its description in RNAcentral is "bacterial SSU rRNA". It matches the Rfam family "Archaeal small subunit ribosomal RNA", at positions 359 to 823 of the family's 1478-position model. The record is from RNAcentral.